Non-coding RNA from Chelonoidis abingdonii (Abingdon island giant tortoise), 267 nucleotides. NCBI's taxonomy places the organism in Eukaryota, Metazoa, Chordata, Testudines, Testudinidae. The record is from RefSeq and is a predicted model, not a curated record.
CCCUGCUCUCUAGGUGUGCAGUAAAUGUUUGCUUUUCUCUGAGCUGAUAAGCAGCUGGCUUCUCCAAAACUGAGCUUUGAAAGGGCAUUUCCGCAUUCCUACAGCCAAUUUCACAACAAUGACAAGAGUGGCCACUUGACUUAAGGGGAUUAUGGGACGUUUCCGGAGGCUGAUCACAGCGCAGUAACGCAACACUUCGUUCAUACUGGCACCGCGGCGCUCCAGCCAUGCGCAGCAAAUGUUAUUCUGCUCACCAAGGUGGAGUAC